CCUACGGGUGGCAGCAGUGAGGAAUAUUGGUCAAUGGGCUUACGCCUGAACCAGCCAAGUCGCGUGAGGGAAGACUGCCCUAUGGGUUGUAAACCUCUUUUGUCAGGGAGCAACGCCGGCUACGUGUAGCCGGACUGAGAGUACCUGAAGAAAAAGCAUCGGCUAACUCCGUGCCAGCAGCCGCGGUAAUACGGAGGAUGCGAGCGUUAUCCGGAGUUAUUGGGUUUAAAGGGUGCGUAGGCGGAAUGCCAAGUCAGCGGUAAAAUCGCGGGGCUCAACCCCGGCCUGCCGUCGGAACUGGGUGCCUUGAGUGGGCGAGAAGUAUGCGGAAUGCGUGGUGUAGCGGUGAAAUGCAUAGAUAUCACGCAGAACCCCGAUUGCGAAGGCAGCAUACCGGCGCCCUACUGACGCUGAGGCACGAAAGUGCGGGUAUCGAACAGGAUUAGAUACCCCUGGUAGUC
This 461-nucleotide ribosomal RNA is filed under the name uncultured bacterium. RNAcentral's name for it is "partial 16S ribosomal RNA". It matches the Rfam family "Bacterial small subunit ribosomal RNA", at positions 338 to 795 of the family's 1533-position model. The record is from RNAcentral.